CCUGCCAGCCGCCUGUCCCUCCAGCAGCCAAAUCAGAUGAGGAGGAGGCGUGGGAGUCAGGCUCAGCAUCAAGUCAACCUGAGAACUCUGAGGGAGAAAAGGGAAUGGAGCUGUCAGAGAGAGAGAGAGAGAGAGAGAGAGAGAGAGAGAG
Molecule: non-coding RNA, 151 nt
Organism: Pseudonaja textilis
Lineage: Eukaryota; Metazoa; Chordata; Lepidosauria; Squamata; Elapidae
Source: RefSeq, a predicted model, not a curated record